UCUGGUACAGUGGUUAGUGACGCUGUUUACGGUUCCGUAGGGCCCGGGUUCGAAUCCCGGAGAA
Molecule: non-coding RNA, 64 nt
Organism: Trichonephila inaurata madagascariensis
Lineage: Eukaryota; Metazoa; Arthropoda; Arachnida; Araneae; Nephilidae
Source: the annotation of a GenBank genome assembly